This 334-nucleotide ribosomal RNA is filed under the name Culex hayashii. RNAcentral describes it as "eukaryotic LSU rRNA". It matches the Rfam family "Eukaryotic large subunit ribosomal RNA", at positions 691 to 966 of the family's 3401-position model. Lineage: Eukaryota; Metazoa; Arthropoda; Insecta; Diptera; Culicidae. The record is from RNAcentral.
CCGCAGCAUGGUAUCCGCGUGAUCACCAAAGGCGCAAAAAACAUAACUUGAACCCUUGUGCGGGAUUACGGGCGAGACUCUCUGCUCUGUCCCUCCAUCCCCGGGUGUUAUACCAGGCAUGCCGGCCGGGCGACCCGUCGCCUGGUCGGUGCCAUAACAUACCGCGAGUGUGCAGGAUGUGACCCGAAAGAUGGUGAACUAUGCCUGAUCAGGUUGAAGUCAGGGGAAACCCUGAUGGAGGACCGAAGCAGUUCUGACGUGCAAAUCGAUUGUCAGAAUUGGGCAUAGGGGCGAAAGACCAAUCGAACCAUCUAGUAGCUGGUUCCUUCCGAAA